Molecule: ribosomal RNA, 405 nt
Filed under: uncultured bacterium
Lineage: Bacteria
Description: bacterial SSU rRNA
Rfam family: Bacterial small subunit ribosomal RNA
Source: RNAcentral
UGGGGAAUAUUGCACAAUGGGGGAAACCCUGAUGCAGCGACGCCGCGUGGGUGAAGAAGUAUUUCGGUAUGUAAAGCCCUAUCAGCAGGGAAGAAAAAUGACGGUACCUGACUAAGAAGCACCGGCUAAAUACGUGCCAGCAGCCGCGGUAAUACGUAUGGUGCAAGCGUUAUCCGGAUUUACUGGGUGUAAAGGGAGCGCAGGCGGCACGCUAAGCCUGAUGUGAAAACCCGCGGCCCAACCGCGGGAGUGCAUUGGGAACUGGCGGGCUGGAGUACCGGAGGGGCAGGCGGAAUUCCUAGUGUAGCGGUGAAAUGCGUAGAUAUUAGGAGGAACACCAGUGGCGAAGGCGGCCUGCUGGACGGAGACUGACGCUGAGGCUCGAAAGCGUGGGGAGCAAACAGG